RNAcentral lists this ribosomal RNA (378 nucleotides) under uncultured eukaryote. Its description in RNAcentral is "partial 18S ribosomal RNA". It matches the Rfam family "Eukaryotic small subunit ribosomal RNA", at positions 592 to 976 of the family's 1831-position model. The record is from RNAcentral.
CAAUAGCGUAUAUUUAAGUUGUUGCAGUUAAAAAGCUCGUAGUUGGAUUUCGGGUGGGACGCAGCGGUCUCGCAUUGCGUUUGUACUGCUGCAGCCCUCCUUCUUGCCGGGGGCGGCCUCUCGGACUUCACUGUCUGGGGGUCAGAAUCGGCGAUGUUACUUUGAGUAAAUUAGAGUGUUCAAAGCAAGCUUACGCUCUGAAUAUAAUAGCAUGGGAUAACACGACAGGACUCUGGCCUAUCGUGUUGGUCUAUAGGACCAGAGUAAUGAUUAAGAGGGACAGUUGGGGGCAUUCGUAUUCCGUUGUCAGAGGUGAAAUUCUUGGAUUUACGGAAGACGAACAUCUGCGAAAGCAUUUGCCAAGGAUGUUUUCAUUGA